UAAGACGAACCGUGCGAACGUUGUUCGGAAUCACUGGGCUUAAAGGGCGCGUAGGCGGGUCGGUCAGUCCGGGGUGAAAGCCCCCAGCUCAACUGGGGAAGCGCCUUGGAGACGGCCGGUCUUGAGGGAGGUAGGGGCGUGCGGAACUUCCGGUGGAGCGGUGAAAUGCGUAGAUAUCGGAAGGAACACCGAUGGCGAAAGCAGCGCGCUGGAUCUCUUCUGACGCUGAGGCGCGAAAGCCAGGGGAGCAAACGGGAUUAGAUACCCCGGUAGUCCUGGCCCUAAACGUUGGGUACUAGGUUGUGGACUUACAUGGGUUCCCAGCCGAAGCUAAAGUAUUUAGUACCCCGCCUGGGGAGUAUGGUCGCAAGGCUG
RNAcentral lists this ribosomal RNA (375 nucleotides) under uncultured bacterium. Its description in RNAcentral is "bacterial SSU rRNA". It matches the Rfam family "Bacterial small subunit ribosomal RNA", at positions 521 to 896 of the family's 1533-position model. The record is from RNAcentral.